AGUCCCAAAGUGUCCCCAAGUGCCACCACCGUGUCCCCAGGUGUCCUCGGGCCGGCCGCUGUCCCCGAAGCGCAGCUGGAGCCCGCGCCUGACGCUGCGCAGCCACUACGACGCCGUGCGGGCGCUGGCCUUUGUCCCUUGUCACCCGGCGCUGGUGACAGCCUCCGAGGACGCCACCCUCAAGCUCUGGAACCUGCAGAAGCCGCUUGUCCCCAAGAAGAGCGCGGCGCUGGACGUGGAGCCGGUGUACGCCUUCCGCGGGCACAGAGGCCCUGUCCUGGCGGUGGCAGUGCGGCAGGUGACACGGGUGACACGGGUGACAGCGGUGACAUCGGGCUGUGCUGCAGUGCCGGGGUGGACGCUCGGAUCCGCUGCUGGCGCCUGCCCGGGCUGGACAGCGACCCCUACGAUGGCUACGGUGGGUGGCACUUGGGGACAUCGGGGACACCUGGGGACAGUCGGGGGUGUGGUGGCACCUGGGGACAUCGGGGACACCUGGGGACAUCGGGGGUGUGGUUGGCACCUGGGGAUAGUCGUGGGACACCGUGGGGACAGUCGGGGUGUGGUGGCACGUUGGG
Molecule: long non-coding RNA, 578 nt
Filed under: Serinus canaria (Common canary)
Lineage: Eukaryota; Metazoa; Chordata; Aves; Passeriformes; Fringillidae
Description: lncRNA (ENSSCAG00000001850.1)
Source: RNAcentral